Molecule: ribosomal RNA, 497 nt
Filed under: uncultured bacterium
Lineage: Bacteria
Description: partial 16S ribosomal RNA
Rfam family: Bacterial small subunit ribosomal RNA
Source: RNAcentral
GAUGAACGCUGGCGGCGUGCCUAAUACAUGCAAGUCGAGCGAACGGACGAGAAGCUUGCUUCUCUGAUGUUAGCGGCGGACGGGUGAGUAACACGUGGAUAACCUACCUAUAAGACUGGGAUAACUUCGGGAAACCGGAGCUAAUACCGGAUAAUAUUUUGAACCGCAUGGUUCAAAAGUGAAAGACGGUCUUGCUGUCACUUAUAGAUGGAUCCGCGCUGCAUUAGCUAGUUGGUAAGGUAACGGCUUACCAAGGCAACGAUGCAUAGCCGACCUGAGAGGGUGAUCGGCCACACUGGAACUGAGACACGGUCCAGACUCCUACGGGAGGCAGCAGUAGGGAAUCUUCCGCGAUGGGCGAGAGCCUGACGGAGCAACGCCGCGUGAGUGAUGAAGGUCUUCGGAUCGUAAAACUCUGUUAUUAGGGAAGAACAUAUGUGUAAGUAACUGUGCACAUCUUGACGGUACCUAAUCAGAAAGCCACGGCUAACUACGUG